This 245-nucleotide ribosomal RNA is filed under the name uncultured Lachnospiraceae bacterium. Its description in RNAcentral is "partial 16S ribosomal RNA". It matches the Rfam family "Bacterial small subunit ribosomal RNA", at positions 524 to 769 of the family's 1533-position model. The record is from RNAcentral. Lineage: Bacteria; Bacillati; Bacillota; Clostridia; Lachnospirales; Lachnospiraceae.
UACGUAUGGUGCAAGCGUUAUCCGGAUUUACUGGGUGUAAAGGGUGAGCAGGCGGUUAUGCAAGUCAUACGUGAAAUGUCGGGGCUUAACCCCGGCCUGCGUAAGAAACUGUAUAACUUGAGUGCAGGAGAGGCAAGCGGAAUUCCCAGUGUAGCGGUGAAAUGCGUAGAUAUUGGGAAGAACACCGGUGGCGAAGGCGGCUUGCUGGACUGUAACUGACGCUGAGUCACGAAAGCGUGGGGAGC